Molecule: ribosomal RNA, 674 nt
Filed under: uncultured bacterium
Lineage: Bacteria
Description: bacterial SSU rRNA
Rfam family: Bacterial small subunit ribosomal RNA
Source: RNAcentral
CAGGCUUAACACAUGCAAGUCGGGGGGCAGCAUGGUCUUAGCUUGCUAAGACUGAUGGCGACCGGCGCACGGGUGAGUAACACGUAUCCAACCUGCCGUCUACUCUUGGACAGCCUUCUGAAAGGAAGAUUAAUACAAGAUGGCAUCAUGAGUCCGCAUGUUCACAUGAUUAAAGGUAUUCCGGUAGACGAUGGGGAUGCGUUCCAUUAGAUAGUAGGCGGGGUAACGGCCCACCUAGUCUUCGAUGGAUAGGGGUUCUGAGAGGAAGGUCCCCCACAUUGGAACUGAGACACGGUCCAAACUCCUACGGGAGGCAGCAGUGAGGAAUAUUGGUCAAUGGGCGAGAGCCUGAACCAGCCAAGUAGCGUGAAGGAUGACUGCCCUAUGGGUUGUAAACUUCUUUUAUAAAGGAAUAAAGUCGGGUAUGUAUACCCGUUUGCAUGUACUUUAUGAAUAAGGAUCGGCUAACUCCGUGCCAGCAGCCGCGGUAAUACGGAGGAUCCGAGCGUUAUCCGGAUUUAUUGGGUUUAAAGGGAGCGUAGAUGGAUGUUUAAGUCAGUUGUGAAAGUUUGCGGCUCAACCGUAAAAUUGCAGUUGAUACUGGAUAUCUUGAGUGCAGUUGAGGCAGGCGGAAUUCGUGGUGUAGCGGUGAAAUGCUUAGAUAUCACGAAGAA